AACGCGAAGAACCUUACCUACCCUUGACAUUGACGGAAUUUGACUGAGAGGUUGAAGUGCCCGCGAGGGAACCGUUGAACAGGUGCUGCAUGGCUGUCGUCAGCUCGUGUCGUGAGAUGUUGGGUUAAGUCCCGUAACGAGCGCAACCCUUGUUCCUAGUUACCAGCACGUAAAGGUGGGGACUCUAGGGAGACUGCCGGUGACAAACCGGAGGAAGGUGGGGAUGACGUCAAGUCCUCAUGGCCUUUAUGGGUAGGGCCACACACGUGCUACAAUGGGCGGUACAGAGGGAAGCGAAGCUGCGAGGUGGAGCGAAUCUCAGAAAGCCGUUCGUAGUCCGGAUUGGAGUCUGCAACUCGACUCCAUGAAGUUGGAAUCGCUAGUAAUCGCGAAUCAGCAUGUCGCGGUGAAUACGUUCCCGGGCCUUGUACACACCGCUCGCGA
RNAcentral lists this ribosomal RNA (444 nucleotides) under uncultured bacterium. RNAcentral describes it as "bacterial SSU rRNA". It matches the Rfam family "Bacterial small subunit ribosomal RNA", at positions 958 to 1399 of the family's 1533-position model. The record is from RNAcentral.